Molecule: ribosomal RNA, 428 nt
Filed under: uncultured bacterium
Lineage: Bacteria
Description: bacterial SSU rRNA
Rfam family: Bacterial small subunit ribosomal RNA
Source: RNAcentral
GCAGGGAAUCUUGCGCAAUGGGCGAAAGCCUGACGCAGCAACACCGCGUGGGGGAUGAAGGCUCAUGGGUCGUAAACCCCUUUUCUCAGGGAAGAAAAAAAUGACGGUACUUGAGGAAUAAGCAUCGGCCAACUACGUGCCAGCAGCCGCGGUAAUACGUAGGAUGCAAGCGUUAUCCGGAUUCACUGGGCGUAAAGAGCGCGCAGGCGGUCCUUUAAGUUAGGUGUGAAAACUCUCAGCUCAACUGAGAGACGCCAUCUAAUACUGGGGGGCUUGAGGGCAGCAGAGGAAGAUGGAAUUCCCGGUGUAGUGGUGAAAUGCGUAGAUAUCGGGAGGAACACCAGUGGCGAAGGCGGUCUUCUGGGCUGUACCUGACGCUGAGGCGCGAAAGCGUGGGGAGCAAACAGGAUUAGAUACCCCUGUAGUCC